RNAcentral lists this ribosomal RNA (801 nucleotides) under uncultured bacterium. RNAcentral describes it as "bacterial SSU rRNA". It matches the Rfam family "Bacterial small subunit ribosomal RNA", at positions 322 to 1117 of the family's 1533-position model. The record is from RNAcentral.
AGACACGGYCCAAACUCCUACGGGAGGCAGCAGUAGGGAAUCUUCCACAAUGGACGCAAGUCUGAUGGAGCAACGCCGCGUGAGUGAAGAAGGUUUUCGGAUCGUAAAGCUCUGUUGUUGGUGAAGAAGGAUAGAGGUAGUAACUGGCCUUUAUUUGACGGUAAUCAACCAGAAAGUCACGGCUAACUACGUGCCAGCAGCCGCGGUAAUACGUAGGUGGCAAGCGUUGUCCGGAUUUAUUGGGCGUAAAGCGAGCGCAGGCGGAAGAAUAAGUCUGAUGUGAAAGCCCUCGGCUUAACCGAGGAACUGCAUCGGAAACUGUUUUUCUUGAGUGCAGAAGAGGAGAGUGGAACUCCAUGUGUAGCGGUGGAAUGCGUAGAUAUAUGGAAGAACACCAGUGGCGAAGGCGACUCUCUGGUCUGCAACUGACGCUGAGGCUCGAAAGCAUGGGUAGCGAACAGGAUUAGAUACCCUGGUAGUCCAUGCCGUAAACGAUGAGUGCUAAGUGUUGGGAGGUUUCCGCCUCUCAGUGCUGCAGCUAACGCAUUAAGCACUCCGCCUGGGGAGUACGACCGCAAGGUUGAAACUCAAAGGAAUUGACGGGGGCCCGCACAAGCGGUGGAGCAUGUGGUUUAACUCGAAGCAACGCGAAGAACCUUACCAGGUCUUGACAUCUAGUGCCAUCCUAAGAGAUUAGGAGUUCCCUUCGGGACGCUAAGACAGGUGGUGCAUGGCUGUCGUCAGCUCGUGUCGUGARAUGUUGGGUUAAGUCCCGCAACGAGCGCAACCCUUGUAUAGUUG